This 120-nucleotide ribosomal RNA is filed under the name Pteropus alecto (black flying fox). Lineage: Eukaryota; Metazoa; Chordata; Mammalia; Chiroptera; Pteropodidae. The record is from RNAcentral.
GUCCAUGGUCUAUGCCACCCUGAACGUGCCCGAUCUCGUCUGAUCUCAGAAGCUAAGCAGGGUCGGGCCUGAUUAGUACUUAGAUGGGAGACCACCUAGGAAGACUAGGUGCUGUAGUCA